RNAcentral lists this ribosomal RNA (498 nucleotides) under uncultured bacterium. RNAcentral describes it as "partial 16S ribosomal RNA". It matches the Rfam family "Bacterial small subunit ribosomal RNA", at positions 30 to 523 of the family's 1533-position model. The record is from RNAcentral.
AUUGAACGCUGGCGGCAUGCUUUACACAUGCAAGUCGAACGGUAACAGGCCUUCGGGCGCUGACGAGUGGCGAACGGGUGAGUAAUGCAUCGGAACGUGCCCGGUCGUGGGGGAUAACGCAGCGAAAGCUGCGCUAAUACCGCAUACGAUCUCUGGAUGAAAGCGGGGGACCGAAAGGCCUCGCGCGAUUGGAGCGGCCGAUGUCAGAUUAGGUAGUUGGUGGGGUAAAGGCCCACCAAGCCAACGAUCUGUAGCUGGUCUGAGAGGACGACCAGCCACACUGGGACUGAGACACGGCCCAGACUCCUACGGGAGGCAGCAGUGGGGAAUUUUGGACAAUGGGCGCAAGCCUGAUCCAGCAAUGCCGCGUGCAGGAAGAAGGCCUUCGGGUUGUAAACUGCUUUUGUACGGAACGAAACGGUUCGGGUUAAUACCCUGGGCUAAUGACGGUACCGUAAGAAUAAGCACCGGCUAACUACGUGCCAGCCGCCGCAGUAA